GGCAGUGUAGCUCAGUGGCAAAGCCCUUGCAUAGUAUGUAAGUAUGUGAGAAGCCCUGGGUUCAAUCCCCAGGAUUGCAA
This 80-nucleotide transfer RNA is filed under the name Marmota monax (woodchuck). RNAcentral describes it as "tRNA.Thr". Lineage: Eukaryota; Metazoa; Chordata; Mammalia; Rodentia; Sciuridae. The record is from RNAcentral.